This 1349-nucleotide ribosomal RNA is filed under the name uncultured bacterium. RNAcentral's name for it is "bacterial SSU rRNA". It matches the Rfam family "Bacterial small subunit ribosomal RNA", at positions 28 to 1397 of the family's 1533-position model. The record is from RNAcentral.
CCUGAACGCUGGCGGCGUGGUUAAGACAUGCAAGUCGUACGGGUGUAGCAAUACACCUGUGGCGAAGGGGUGAGUAAUGAAUCACUAACGUGCCCCGGACACUGGGAUAGCCGGCCGAAAGGUCGGGUAAUACCAAAUGAUAUUCCUGAUGCGCAUGCUUUAGGACUCAAAAGACUAAUCCGGUUUGGGAGCGGGCGAUUUCAUAUCACCUUGUUGGUGAGGUAACGGCUCACCAAGGCGACGACGCUUAGCCGGACUGAGAGGUUGACCGGCCACAUCGGGACUGAGACACUGCCCGGACUCCUACUGGGGGCUGCAGUAACGAAUCUUCCGCAAUGCACGAAAGUGUGACGGAACGACUCCGCGUGUGGGACGAAUCCCUUCGGGGUGUAAACCACUGUCACGGGAUACCAAGUUCUGAGGAUCCCCAGAGGAAGGCACGGCUAACUCUGUGCCGGCAGCCGCGGUAAGACAGAGGUGCCGAGCGUUAGGCGGAAUCACUGGGCUUAAAGCGUGUGUAGGCGGACUGAUAAGUACCUUGUGAAAUCCCACGGCUCAACCGUGGAACUGCUGGGUAUACUGUCGGUCUUGAGUCACCUAGAGGCGAGCGGAACAAAUGGUGGAGCGGUGAAAUGCGUAGAUAUCAUUUGGAACGCCAAUGGCGAAAGCAGCUCGCUGGGGGUGUACUGACGCUGAGACACGAAGCCCAGGGUAGCGAACGGGAUUAGAUACCCCGGUAGUCCUGGCCGUAACGAUGUCCACUAGAUCGUGGCACCUCUGACGGUGUCACGGUCGAAGCUAAAGUGCUAAGUGGACCGCUUGGGAAGUACGGUCGCAAGGCUAAAACUCAAAGGAAUUGACGGGGGCUCACACAAGCGGUGGAGCAUGUGGUUUAAUUGGAAGCAACGCGCAGAACCUUACCCGGGUUUGACAUGCCAGGAUUAUCCCUGGAAAGUAGGGUACGCCCUUCGGGGUGGAACUGGUACAGGUGCUGCAUGGCUGUCGUCAGCUCGUGUCGUGAGAUGUCGGGUUAAGUCCCUUAACGAGCGAAACCUUUGCCCUUAGUUACCAGCGGAUAAUGCCGGGGACUCUAAGGGGACUGCCGGUGUCAAACCGGAGGAAGGUGGAGAUGACGUCAAGUCUUCAUGGCCUCUAUGCCCAGGGCCACACACGUGUUACAAUGGGAUGGAUAGAGCGAGCCGAGACCGCAAGGUGGAGGAAAUCGCCGAAAUCAUCCCCCAGUUCAGAUCGGAGGUUGCAACUUGCCUCCCUGAAGUUGGAAUCGCUAGUAAUCGCGGAUCAGCCACGCCGCGGUGAAUAUGUUCCUGAGCCUUGUACACACCGCCCGU